RNAcentral lists this long non-coding RNA (233 nucleotides) under Malus domestica (apple). RNAcentral describes it as "long non-coding RNA (MDOM_LNC013173)". The record is from RNAcentral. Lineage: Eukaryota; Viridiplantae; Streptophyta; Magnoliopsida; Rosales; Rosaceae.
UGUGUGUGUUGAUUGAGAGUGCACGGUUAAUUUUCAUGCAUAAGUUUGAUGCUAGGAUAUAAGGGAGUUUCACCUAAUCGUUAUGAACUUAUAUUCGCAAGUAGUAAAGGUUGUUGAUCACAAUCGUGUUAAGUAAAUUCUUGGCAGAAGUUUCAUGCAAUUCAUAGUAACAAGUGCCCUGCCAAUGCUUAUGAUUUUCACAGAACUUAAUGAUCUUUCCUUGUAUCUUUGUU